AGCUCAGCUGGUAGAGCAACUGACUUUUAAUCAGUGGGUCGCAGGUUCGAAUCCUGCACG
This 60-nucleotide transfer RNA is filed under the name Rhodosalinus sediminis. It matches the Rfam family "tRNA", at positions 9 to 63 of the family's 71-position model. Rfam says of the family: Transfer RNA (tRNA) molecules are approximately 80 nucleotides in length. Their secondary structure includes four short double-helical elements and three loops (D, anti-codon, and T loops). Lineage: Bacteria; Pseudomonadati; Pseudomonadota; Alphaproteobacteria; Rhodobacterales; Paracoccaceae. The record is from RNAcentral.